AGAACGAACGCUGGCGGCAGGCCUAACACAUGCAAGUCGAACGCUCCGCAAGGGGAGUGGCAGACGGGUGAGUAACACGUGGGAACAUACCCUUCGGUUCGGAAUAACUCAGGGAAACUUGAGCUAAUACCGGAUACGUCCUGGCGGAGAAAGAUUUAUCGCCGAAGGAUUGGCCCGCGUCCGAUUAGCUAGUUGGUGAGGUAACGGCUCACCAAGGCGACGAUCGGUAGCUGGUCUGAGAGGAUGAUCAGCCACACUGGGACUGAGACACGGCCCAGACUCCUACGGGAGGCAGCAGUGGGGAAUAUUGGACAAUGGGCGCAAGCCUGAUCCAGCCAUGCCGCGUGAGUGAUGAAGGCCCUAGGGUUGUAAAGCUCUUUCGUCAGGGACGAUAAUGACGGUACCUGAAGAGAAGCCCGGCUAACUUCGCGCCAGCAGCCGC
This 442-nucleotide ribosomal RNA is filed under the name uncultured bacterium. Its description in RNAcentral is "SSU rRNA". It matches the Rfam family "Bacterial small subunit ribosomal RNA", at positions 26 to 518 of the family's 1533-position model. The record is from RNAcentral.